Molecule: ribosomal RNA, 423 nt
Filed under: uncultured bacterium
Lineage: Bacteria
Description: bacterial SSU rRNA
Rfam family: Bacterial small subunit ribosomal RNA
Source: RNAcentral
GGCCAGCAGCCGCGGUAAAACGUAGGAGGCGAGCGUUAUCCGGAUUUACUGGGUGUAAAGCGCAUGCAGGCGGUUCGUUAAGUUGGAUGUGAAAGCUCCUGGCUUAACUGGGAGAGGUCGUUCAAAACUAGCGAACUAGAGGACGGUAAGGGAAAGCGGAAUUCCGGGUGUAGUGGUGAAAUGCGUAGAUAUCCGGAGGAACACCAGUGGCGAAGGCGGCUUUCUGGACCGUGACUGACGCUCAGAUGCGAAAGCUAGGGUAGCAAACGGGAUUAGAGACCCCGGUAGUCCUAGCCGUAAACGAUGUGAACUUGGCGGUGGUUGGGUAAAACCGAUCACUGCCGAAGCUAACGCGAUAAGUUCACCACCUGGGGACUACGGCCGCAAGGUUAAAACUCAAAGGAAUUGACGGGGGCCCGCACA